AAGUCGUAACAAGGUUUCCGUAGGUGAACCUGCGGAAGGAUCAUUACAUUCAGUAGCUUGCUACUGGUCGGGAGGCGCUGUAACUCCGCAUAGUAUUCAUUUACUGAUGAGCGGCUGGCCCUCUGUCUGUACCCUUGUCUUUUGCGCACUCAUGUUUCCUCGGCGGGCUUGCCGCCGAUUGGACAAACUAUAACCUUUUAAUUUCAAUCAGCGUCUGAAAACUUAAUAUUACAA
This 234-nucleotide unclassified non-coding RNA is filed under the name plant metagenome. Its description in RNAcentral is "partial contains small subunit ribosomal RNA and internal transcribed spacer 1". The stretch from base 1 to 46 matches the Rfam family "Eukaryotic small subunit ribosomal RNA", at positions 1786 to 1831 of the family's 1831-position model. The record is from RNAcentral.